This 484-nucleotide ribosomal RNA is filed under the name uncultured bacterium. RNAcentral describes it as "partial 16S ribosomal RNA". It matches the Rfam family "Bacterial small subunit ribosomal RNA", at positions 39 to 507 of the family's 1533-position model. The record is from RNAcentral.
GGGGGGGGGGGGGGGGGGGGGGAGCGGAGGGGGGGCGGGGGGGUGGGGGGGGGUUGCGCCUGGAUUGAGCGGCGUACGGGGGAGUAAUGCGUAGGAAUCUGGCUGGUGGUGGGGGCUAACGUCCGGAAACGGGAGCUAAUACCGCAUCCGUCCUGAGGGAGAGAGUUGGGUAUCUUCGGACCUCCCGCUAUCAGAUGAGCCUGGGUCGGAUUAGCUAGGUGGUGGGGUAAAGGCCUACCGAGGCGACGAUCCGUACCUGGUCUCAGAGGAGGAUCAGUCACACUGGAACUGAGACACGGUCCAGACUCCUACGGGAGGCAGCAGUGGGGAAUAUUGGACAAUGGGCGAAAGCCUGAUCCAGCCAUGCCGCGUGUGUGAAGAAGGUCUUCGGAUUGUAAAGCACUUUAAGUUGGGAGGAAGGGCAGUAAGUUAAUACCUUGCUGUUUUGACGUUACCAACAGAAUAAGCACCGGCUAACUUCGUG